GAUGAACGCUAGCGGCAGGCCUAAUACAUGCAAGUCGAACGCUCAGUAGCAAUACUGGGAGUGGCGCACGGGUGCGUAACGCGUACACAAUCUACCUCUAAGCGGGGGACACCUCCUGGAAACGGGGAUUAAUACCGCAUAAUAUGCCGAGGUCGCAUGACUUUGGUAUUAAAGCAGCAAUGCACUUAGAGAUGAGUGUGCGUCCCAUUAGGUAGUUGGUGAGGUAACGGCUCACCAAGCCUAUGAUGGGUAGCCGGUCUGAGAGGAUGGUCGGCCACACGGGCACUGAGACACGGGCCCGACUCCUACGGGAGGCAGCAGUAAGGAAUAUUGGUCAAUGGUGGGAACACUGAACCAGCCAUGCCGCGUGGAGGAAUAAGGUCCUACGGAUUGUAAACUCCUUUUGACGAGGAAGAAAGUGUUAGAUUUAUCUAAUUUGUACGGUACUCGUAGAAUAAGCACCGGCUAACUCCGUGCCAGCAGCCGCGGU
RNAcentral lists this ribosomal RNA (490 nucleotides) under uncultured bacterium. RNAcentral's name for it is "bacterial SSU rRNA". It matches the Rfam family "Bacterial small subunit ribosomal RNA", at positions 28 to 521 of the family's 1533-position model. The record is from RNAcentral.